RNAcentral lists this ribosomal RNA (471 nucleotides) under uncultured organism. Its description in RNAcentral is "partial 16S ribosomal RNA". It matches the Rfam family "Bacterial small subunit ribosomal RNA", at positions 334 to 797 of the family's 1533-position model. The record is from RNAcentral.
CACUCCUACGGGAGGCAGCAGUGGGGAAUAUUGCACAAUGGGCGCAAGCCUGAUGCAGCCAUGCCGCGUGUAUGAAGAAGGCCUUCGGGUUGUAAAGUACUUUCAGCGGGGAGGAAGGCGAUAAGGUUAAUAACCUUGUCGAUUGACGUUACCCGCAGAAGAAGCACCGGCUAACUCCGUGCCAGCAGCCGCGGUAAUACGGAGGGUGCAAGCGUUAAUCGGAAUUACUGGGCGUAAAGCGCACGCAGGCGGUCUGUCAAGUCGGAUGUGAAAUCCCCGGGCUUAACCUGGGAACUGCAUUCGAAACUGGCAGGCUAGAGUCUUGUAGAGGGGGGUAGAAUUCCAGGUGUAGCGGUGAAAUGCGUAGAGAUCUGGAGGAAUACCGGUGGCGAAGGCGGCCCCCUGGACAAAGACUGACGCUCAGGUGCGAAAGCGUGGGGAGCAAACAGGAUUAGAUACCCCGGUAGUCCC